Molecule: transfer RNA, 74 nt
Filed under: Saccoglossus kowalevskii
Lineage: Eukaryota; Metazoa; Hemichordata; Enteropneusta; Harrimaniidae
Description: tRNA-Ile
Rfam family: tRNA
About the family: Transfer RNA (tRNA) molecules are approximately 80 nucleotides in length. Their secondary structure includes four short double-helical elements and three loops (D, anti-codon, and T loops).
Source: RNAcentral
UCCCCAGUGGCACAAUCGGUUAGCGCGCCGUAAUUAUAAUGCGGAGGUUGUGAGUUCGAGCCUCACCUGGGGAA